ACGGGUUAUAACUUAGAGAUUGUCAAUAAUCUAAUAAAUUUGGCGGUAUUAGGGUCUAACUAGAGGAAUCUGUCCUGUUAAGGAUAAAACACCUAAAGCUUUUCUUCACUUAUUUUAGUUAGCAUAUCGCCGUUGUUAGAUAAUUAUCUUAAUAUAUCGUCUUAAUUUUAUUAAGCACUUCAGGUCAAGAUACUACUUAUAGUGAAGUUUGAGAUGGAUUACAAUCUACAGAUAGAUACGGAAAAUUUUUUAUUUGAAGGCGGAUUUAGUUGUAAGAAUUAAACUAUGUUAUUCUGAAUCAGGUCUCUAAUAUGU
RNAcentral lists this ribosomal RNA (315 nucleotides) under Paramiopsalis anadonae. RNAcentral's name for it is "partial 12S ribosomal RNA". The record is from RNAcentral. Lineage: Eukaryota; Metazoa; Arthropoda; Arachnida; Opiliones; Sironidae.